This 257-nucleotide ribosomal RNA is filed under the name uncultured bacterium. Its description in RNAcentral is "partial 16S ribosomal RNA". It matches the Rfam family "Bacterial small subunit ribosomal RNA", at positions 524 to 776 of the family's 1533-position model. The record is from RNAcentral.
UACAGAGACCUCAAGCGUUAUCCGGAAUCAUUGGGCGUAAAGCGUACCGAUAGGUGGUCUUGAAAGGUUUGGGUAAAAGCCAGAAGCUCAACUUCUGAGUUUGCUCAAAAUACUGCAAGACUUGAGGGGCAAAGAGGAGAUUGGAACGAACGGUGUAGUAGUGAAAUGCGUUGAUAUCGUUCGGAACACCGAAAGCGAAGGCAGAUCGCUGGGUGCCACCUGACACUGCUAGGACGAAAGCGUGGGGAGCGAAUGGG